AACGAACGCUGGCGGCGCGUCUUAAGCAUGCAAGUCGAACGGCAAGAGAGAGCUUGCUUCUCUCCUAGAGUGGCGGACUGGUGAGGAACACGUGGGUAAUCUACCCUUAAGAUGGGGAUAGCUGUUAGAAAUAGCAGGUAAUACCGAAUAGGCUCAGUGCUUCAUAAGAGGCGUUGAGGAAAGGGGGCUACGGCUCCGCUUGAGGAUGAGCUUGCGUCCCAUUAGCUAGUUGGUGAGGUAAAGGCCCACCAAGGCGACGAUGGGUAUCCGGCCUGAGAGGGUGAUCGGACACAUUGGGACUGAGAUACGGCCCAAACUCCUACGGGAGGCAGCAGCUAAGAAUAUUCCGCAAUGGACGGAAGUCUGACGGAGCGACGCCGCGUGGAUGAAGAAGGCUGAAAAGUUGUAAAAUCCUUUUGUUGAUGAAGAAUAAGGGGAAGAGGGAUGCUUCUCUGAUGACGGUAAUCAGCGAAUAAGCCACC
RNAcentral lists this ribosomal RNA (482 nucleotides) under Treponema sp. oral taxon 237. RNAcentral describes it as "bacterial SSU rRNA". It matches the Rfam family "Bacterial small subunit ribosomal RNA", at positions 29 to 495 of the family's 1533-position model. The record is from RNAcentral. Lineage: Bacteria; Pseudomonadati; Spirochaetota; Spirochaetia; Treponematales; Treponemataceae.